UACGGAGGGUGCAAGCGUUAAUCGGAAUUACUGGGCGUAAAGCGUGCGUAGGCGGUUUAUUAAGUCAGAUGUGAAAGCCCCGGGCUUAACCUGGGAACUGCAUUUGAAACUGGUCAACUAGAGUAUGGUAGAGGAAAGUGGAAUUUCUGGUGUAGCGGUGAAAUGCGUAGAUAUCAGAAGGAACAUCAAUGGCGAAGGCAACUUUCUGGACCAAUACUGACGCUGAGGUACGAAAGCGUGGGUAGCAAACAGGAUUAGAUACCCUGGUAGUCCACGCCGUAAACGAUGAUAACUAGCCGUUGGGGGGAUUUACCCCUUAGUGGCGAAGCUAACGCGUUAAGUUAUCCGCC
This 350-nucleotide ribosomal RNA is filed under the name uncultured Candidatus Thioglobus sp. Its description in RNAcentral is "bacterial SSU rRNA". It matches the Rfam family "Bacterial small subunit ribosomal RNA", at positions 524 to 873 of the family's 1533-position model. Lineage: Bacteria; Pseudomonadati; Pseudomonadota; Gammaproteobacteria; Pseudothioglobaceae (SeqCode). The record is from RNAcentral.